RNAcentral lists this transfer RNA (92 nucleotides) under Scleropages formosus (Asian bonytongue). It matches the Rfam family "tRNA". From Rfam's summary of the family: Transfer RNA (tRNA) molecules are approximately 80 nucleotides in length. Their secondary structure includes four short double-helical elements and three loops (D, anti-codon, and T loops). Further hydrogen bonds mediate the characteristic L-shaped molecular structure. tRNAs have two regions of fundamental functional importance: the anti-codon, which is responsible for specific mRNA codon recognition, and the 3' end, to which the tRNAs corresponding amino acid is attached (by aminoacyl-tRNA synthetases). tRNAs cope with the degeneracy of the genetic code in two manners: having more than one tRNA (with a specific anti-codon) for a particular amino acid; and 'wobble' base-pairing, i.e. permitting non-standard base-pairing at the 3rd anti-codon position. Lineage: Eukaryota; Metazoa; Chordata; Actinopteri; Osteoglossiformes; Osteoglossidae. The record is from Rfam by way of RNAcentral.
CCUUCGAUAGCUCAGUUGGUAGAGCGGAGGACUGUAGUGGGUUAAUAAUGGUAGAGAUCCUUAGGUCGCUGGUUCGAAUCCGGCUCGAAGGA